Molecule: transfer RNA, 72 nt
Filed under: Ictidomys tridecemlineatus (thirteen-lined ground squirrel)
Lineage: Eukaryota; Metazoa; Chordata; Mammalia; Rodentia; Sciuridae
Also listed under: 1 other name
Description: Spermophilus tridecemlineatus (thirteen-lined ground squirrel) tRNA
Rfam family: tRNA
About the family: Transfer RNA (tRNA) molecules are approximately 80 nucleotides in length.
Source: Rfam by way of RNAcentral
GGGACUAUAACUCAGUUGGUAGAGUGCUUGCCUCACAUGCACAAGGCCCUGGGUUCAAUCCCCAGCACCCCA